UAUUCGUCAAUGGACGCGAGUCUGAACCAGCCAAGCAGCGUGAAGGAUGACUGCCCUAUGGGUGGUAAACUUCUUUUAUAUGGGAAUAAAGUUUUCCACGCGUGGAAUUUUGUAUGUAUCAUAUGAAUAAGGAUCGGCUAACUCCGUCCCAGCAGCCGCGGUAAUACGGAGGAUCCGAGCGUUAUCCGGAUUUAUCGGGUUUAAAGGGAGCGUAGGUGGAUUGCUAAGUCAGUUGUGAAAGUUUGCGGCUCAACCGUAAAAUUGCAGUUGAAACUGGCAGUCUUGAGUACAGUAGAGGUGGGCGGAAUUCGUGGUGUAGCGGUGAAAUGCUUAGAUAUCACGAAGAACUCCGAUUGCGAAGGCAGCUCACUGGACUGUUGACUGACACUGAGGCUCGAAAGUGUGGGUAUCAAACAG
Molecule: ribosomal RNA, 417 nt
Filed under: uncultured bacterium
Lineage: Bacteria
Description: bacterial SSU rRNA
Rfam family: Bacterial small subunit ribosomal RNA
Source: RNAcentral